Molecule: non-coding RNA, 786 nt
Organism: Oryctolagus cuniculus (rabbit)
Lineage: Eukaryota; Metazoa; Chordata; Mammalia; Lagomorpha; Leporidae
Source: RefSeq, a predicted model, not a curated record
GUUCGGGGGCAGGGGUCUCGCGGCCGCCAGGCUUGUCCGCGGGGCCUGGGAGCUCCGAGCCCAGCCCACGGCCCGCCCCUCGAGGCGCGGCUGUCCCUCCUGGGGCCAGCUUGCCGGGGGCUGCCCUGAGUCCGGGCGGCAAAGUCUAACUUUAGAACCCGCGGCUGAGGAGGACAGCGAACGCGCGCCCGUCAGCUCACAGGGCGCGUGCGCGGCUCAUGUAGCGGAACUAAAGAGCCGCCUGUAAACCGGAAGUUGGUGUGGUUGUCUAGGCGACCGGACGCCGUUCUCGGGCCUCCGGGUCACAAUCCGCUGAGCUCACGGAGGCCGGGAGACGGGCGCCCCGUGGCGGAGCCAGCUGGACCUACAGCCCGGCGCUGGGCAACCAGGAGAAUCACAAAGUCCAAGAGAUGAACUGAAAGCCCUGUGCUGUGUUCUGUUCUUGGAAAUCAAAACACACAAGAGUCAUUAGCAUUCUUUGACUCAGCCUAGAUAAGGCAAAGAAAAUCCACGGGACCAUAAUACGUAAGCGGUUUUAGCAAAAACACGCUCUAGCGAGAAAAGAGAGCAACUGGAGGCUUGAGGCUAGCACCUCAAGGUCAGUUCACACUCCCACCACUGCCAAUGCCUCUGUGGGUUCUCAGUGACCAUCACCUUGAAACUCCAGAGAGCAGGGGUGGGGAACAUCCAGCCUGAGGCCACAGAAGGGCCCCUGCAUCAUGCCGUCCGCCCUGCAAGGCAACCACAGACAGGACUGACUUCCAUAAAAACAGACUAAGCUGAUAA